Pyrgilauda ruficollis (rufous-necked snowfinch) is the source of this 2712-nucleotide long non-coding RNA. RefSeq lists it as uncharacterized. The record is from RefSeq and is a predicted model, not a curated record. Lineage: Eukaryota; Metazoa; Chordata; Aves; Passeriformes; Passeridae. The transcript has 8 exons.
CGGGCCGGGCUGGGAUCAGGGCCGGGUUCGGGGCCUGCAGGGCGAGCAGCAAGGAGGCGCAGGCCCGGCUUGCCGAGCGAAGUGGCCGUACCGCUGAGUGAGCUGAAGCGCUCGCUCCCCCAGCUCGGCAGUGGUAGCGGCCGCCGGGCCUGCUUGGGCCGCGCGGGCCGGGCCGCACCAUUGCAGGGGCGGGGGGGGCGCGGCCUCGCGGCGCGUGGCGGCUCACGGCUCUUGUCCCUCAGGGCGCCAUGGAGGCGGCACCGGCACCGCGACCCCGCCGGCAGCGCCGGGACCCCGCCGGCACCGCGGGAACCCCUCCCCGCAGAAAGAUGUCUUGAACUAAAGAAGCUGGCCUUUCCACCUGGUGUGACACCACAGGGCUGGGAGCAGCUGGGGAGCUGGCCCUGAUGUGAAGGUCGAGCCUGCAGGUCUGUGCUGCCAUGUGCUGGUGGUUGAUGUCCCCCCACUGAUGGGACAGCUCAAGUCCUGUGGAGGGCACUGAGACAGCAGGAGAAUCUGCUGGGUGGUGCUGCUGCAAACGUCUCUGAGGCAGAAGGACUCCAACAAAACACCUUGAGGAUUUUGUGUAGACACAUUUUCUGCCUGUUCCAAAGUGGAGGAAGAGCUGUUAAUUUUCCAAUUCUCCUUCAUUUCAGAGAAGUGAGGCACAAAGGAGCUGCUGUUUUCCAGCACUGGUGAGCUGCAAGAAAAGUGUCACAGCCCCCAGCUCUGCUGUUUCUGUGCCUGUGGUGGAGGGGAGCUCUGAGCCUGCAGGAAAGCACAACUUGGGAAAAUCCUGAGCCUUGGAAUUGAUCAUUUAACAAGCAGGUGGGUACAGUGAAGAUGAAACAACAACAAAAAAGGAAUGGUGAAGUUCUUCUCUUGGAAAGUGAUGUGUAAAUGCACACAGCCCCAAGCAGAGGCCUUUUAUUCUGUGUGUUUGAAGCCUGUCCACCUCUGGGAUUUUCUGCCUGUUCCUCUACAUGCAGAACUCCCCAGCAGUGGAAUCCUGUGGGCUCAGGAGCCAGAGCCCUGGGGCAGCAGCUACCAGAGUGUGAUUGAUUCUUUAGUGCCUUGGUUUUCAUUUCUGGAAGAGCUGGAAUUGCAGCUCUUACCUGAGUGAGUUGCCAGACAAGGAGCAGCUGCCCAAGGGAAGCUCAUUCCUGGGUGAUGCAGCUGGGUUUCCACAUCUGUUGCAGCCCAAUAUCCCACAGUGUUCCAUCCAUCCCUGACUCUCUGGAUGUCUAUUCCAGGAAUUUGGGCCUGUAGUAAGAUGCUUUGAGGUUUUAAUUAUGUAGGUUAUUGUUUAGGAUGGUUGUGAGUGCUGCUUGCAAAAUCCUGACCACAAAGCACCUCCCCAAAGCCUUGCCCAGAGCCAGAGGAACCCUGCUUUCCCUGGAGAAGGACAGAGCUGACAGGGAGAGCCAGGAAUAAAGUGGUUUUACAUCACACACCUUGAAAAUCCAGUGAUAAUGCCCAGGCCAAACCUCCAGUGAAUUAAAUAUUAAUAUUUCUCUCCUCUUUUGUAAACCUCCAGUCUAUUUGUCCUUCCAAUAACAGCUCCCUGAGAGCUGCCACGUGCACUCACUGAAGGCUGGGAUUGCUCAUCCCAACCUGCUGGAUGCAAACCAGCCCACAGGUUUAUUUUCUCCUCAGACUGAGUUAAUAAAACAGCAAAGAAAAAAGAUGGCCCAGAAGCCACAGGAUCAAUAAGCUAUUAGGAGCCAAGAAAACUCAGCAAACUGCUCACAUAAUUAAAGGCUGUGGUGAACAGGUUGCAUCUUUUCUGACUCUAUUAAAUCAGGUCUUCAGUUUUAUGUAAAACCAUCAGCUGAGCUGGAGGUAAAACCAGCUGUGUCUCUGUGUAUUUACAGAGGGGGGAUAAAAAGGGAUAAAAAAUAGGGGGAUAAAUAAAUGCACGCCCAGAACUGCCAGAAGGGAAUGCAAACAAAGCACCUCCAGUUCCCCAUCCUUCAGGGGUAACUGGGCCAUGGGCUGAUGGAGCUGGCACUUCAGAAAUGACACUUUAUUCCCAAAUACCUUUCCUGCAGUGCCAGCUUGGGAUCCAGGAUUCCUGCAGUGAGCAAAGCUCUUGUGCUCCUCCUUGAGAACAAACCCUGUGCUAACAUUUUAUAGAAUCAGAUCCCAGGAUGGUUUGGGUUGGAGGGGAAUUAAAGCCCAUUUCAUUCCAACAUUCUGCUGUGGACAGGAACACCUCCCACUAAUCCAGGUUGUUCCAAGUCCUGUCCAGCCUGGAGAUAUCCAUCCAUUUAUUCAUGACAAUUAAUUAAUAUUAAUAUUAAUGUGCCUGGAGCUGGGCCCUCCCUAGGAAUUGAGGCUGGAGCCUGGCUGGAGGCAGUCAGAGCUCUGUGAGGGAUGGCUCUGUCCUUCAGAAUUUCCUGUUACAGACAUUUCAUAGAGCUGGAAAGCUCCUCUCCUCUCACAGCCUGCUGGUGGAAAUCAUCCCCAGGCACAGAAAAAUCCCACUGCCCUUGGAGUGGAGGAAGAGUGGGAUCAAGGAUGACAUCCUUGUACCAGAGAGGUCUGGAGGAGACUUCAUCUGUUGCUCACCAAGGAACAUUUCACUGCAGAGUUUAGCCUCCUGAAGAAGCCAGAGCAGCAGCUCUCAGCACUGCCUUGUCCUCUGCUUUUUCCUGGGCAUUCAACCUGGACAGAGGGAAAAUUCAACACUGGGUCUUUAUUAAACAUUAU